AUGAGUUAAUGGUUAUAGUUGCAUUGGUAUCUAUUCAAGUAUUGUAAGGAAUGUAUUUGAAGGUCUCGUACCUGGGAAGUAAACUUUGAUGUAUGUAAAUUAAGUUUGAAUGUAAUAUUACUAUUGUAUUAUUCAGCUUAUAGAAAUGGUAUCGUGAAGUACUGAGUUCGGGUUUCAAGUACCCGGAUUCGGGGGCGUCACAGAUAUUGAGUGAACGUUCUAUUAAGCCUUUGUGGCAAGGAAUUACUGUUGAUUCACAUUGUUAUAAACAUGAAUUGUGAAUUUAACUAACAUCUUUAGUGGUUCAGGUGAAGACAGGUGAUGAAAGUUCUCUUUAUCUUGGGUAUAAUAAAGAACUGUUAAUGGGUAUUACAGCAAUAAUAUUUAUGAUAAACUUUUUAAAUCAUAGAAGAUAAUAGAUAUCAUGCUCUACUUGACUCUUCUAAUGGAUUGAUCGUUCCGCUACAGUUAUUGAUCUAAAACUUGUUGUCUAUUAUAUUAUAUCAGUUGUUAUACUGUUGAAGGCUAACGAUAAUUUAUUCUGCAUUAUCUUAGUCAUAAUAUUUCUUACUGGGCUAAUUGAACUCACCCUUUUCUUUCACUGUUCUCUUCAGGAAAUGAGAAUAUAGCUGGGACUAGUCAGGGAAUGGAGUGACGGUUCAGAUAGUUGUUUUAGUAGUCCUCACUACUCUAUGAAAUAGUGUGAUAAUAAAUAUAAUGAGGACUUCAUUUGAGUUUGAAUACUGUCUAUGAGACAAUAUUCGUGUAAAAACUCUAAGCUACGUUUUGUCGUACUGUAUAAAAGAAGUGUGUAUUUAAAUUAUGUACUAUGUAUUUGGCGACUCAGAAUGAAUGAUGUAUACCUAUUUUUGGG
RNAcentral lists this long non-coding RNA (874 nucleotides) under Panax ginseng (ginseng). RNAcentral describes it as "long non-coding RNA (PGIN_LNC005861)". Lineage: Eukaryota; Viridiplantae; Streptophyta; Magnoliopsida; Apiales; Araliaceae. The record is from RNAcentral.